This 492-nucleotide ribosomal RNA is filed under the name uncultured bacterium. RNAcentral describes it as "partial 16S ribosomal RNA". It matches the Rfam family "Bacterial small subunit ribosomal RNA", at positions 29 to 507 of the family's 1533-position model. The record is from RNAcentral.
AGUGAACGCUGGCGGUAGGCCUAACACAUGCAAGUCGAACGGCAGCACAGUAAGAGCUUGCUCUUACGGGUGGCGAGUGGCGGACGGGUGAGGAAUACAUCGGAAUCUACUUUUUCGUGGGGGAUAACGUAGGGAAACUUACGCUAAUACCGCAUACGACCUACGGGUGAAAGCAGGGGAUCUUCGGACCUUGCGCGAUUGAAUGAGCCGAUGUCGGAUUAGCUAGUUGGCGGGGUAAAGGCCCACCAAGGCGACGAUCCGUAGCUGGUCUGAGAGGAUGAGCGACCCAACUGGGACUAAGAGACGGUGCUGACCCCUACGGGAGGCAGAAGGAGGGAAGUGGCCGAAAUGGGCGAAAGGCUGACGGAGCACCGCAGCGUGAGAGAGGAAGGUCUUCGGAUCGUAAAACUUGGUUAGUAGGGAAGAAAAAAUGUGUAAGUAACUAUGCACGUCUUGACGGUACCUAAUCAGAAAGCCACGGCUAACUACGUG